GGCUAUCAGAUUAGCCAUGCAGUGCCAGUACAAAUGACUCUGUACAGUGAAACUGCGAAUGGCUCAUUAAAUCAGUUAUAGUUUACUUGAUAGUCUCUUACUACUUGGAUAACCGUGGUAAUUCUAGAGCUAAUACAUGCAUAAAUGCCCGACUUCUGGAAGGGCUGUUGUUAUUAGAUUAAAACCAAUGGUGGCAACACCUCACUUGGUGAUUCAUAGUAACUCUCGAAUCGCAUGUCCUCGCGACGGCGAUGUAUCAUUCAAAUUUCUGCCCUAUCAACUUGAUUGUAGUUUAUUGGACUACAAUGGUUAUAACGGGUAACGGGGAAUAAGGGUUCGAUUCCGGAGAAGGAGCCUGAGAAACGGCUCCUACAUCCAAGGAAGGCAGCAGGCGCGCAAAUUACCCAAUGCCGACUCGGCGAGGUAGUGACAAUACAUAACGAUACAGGGCCUUCGUGGUCCUGUAAUUGGAAUGAGUACAAUCUAAAUCUCUUAACGAGGAACAAUUGGAGGGCAAGCUUGGUGCCAGCAGCCGCGGUAAUUCCAACUCCAAUAGCGUAUAUUAAAGUUGUUGCGUUAGAAACGCGCGUAGUUGAAUUUGGGCACAGACUGGCUGUCCGCUUAACGGCGUGCACGGCCAGGUUGUGUCGAACUUCCUGCCAAUCUGGUCUUCUCUUCACCGAGUGGGCCAGAGCGACAGGACUUUUACUUUGAAAAAAUUAGAGUGUUUAAAGCAGGCGUUCGCUUGAAUACAUUAGCAUGGAAUAAUAGAAUAGGACUUUGGUUCUAUUUUGUUGGUUUCUAGGACCGAGGUAAUGAUUAAUAGGGACAGUCGGGGGCAUUAGUAUUUCAGAGUCAGAGGUGAAAUUCUUGGAUUUCUGAAAGACUAACUACUGCGAAAGCAUUUGCCAAGGAUGUUUUCAUUAACCAAGCACGAAAGUCAGGGGAUCAAAAAUGAUUAGAUACCGUUGUAGUCUUGACCAUAAACUAUGCCGACUCGGGAUUGGUGGAACGUAAUUAUACGCGUCCAUCAGCACCGUACGAGAUAUCAAAGUGUUUGGGUUACGGGGGGAGUACAUUCGCAAGGCUGAAACUUAAAGAAAUUGACGGAAGAGCACAACAAGGCGUGGAAUAUGCGGCUUAAUUUGACUCAACACGGGGAAACUUACCAGGUCCAGACUUAAUAAGGAUUGACAGAUUGAGAGCUCUUUCUUGAUUUUAAGGGGUGUGGUGCAUGGCCGUUCUUAGUUGGUGGAGUGAUUUGUCUGCUUAAUUGCGAUAACGAACGAGACCUUUUCCUGCUAAAUAGACUCACUCAGCCUUGCUGGGUGCAGCCUUCUUAGAGGGACUUUGAUGUAUCAAUAG
RNAcentral lists this ribosomal RNA (1365 nucleotides) under Amoeboaphelidium sp. WZ01. RNAcentral describes it as "partial 18S ribosomal RNA". It matches the Rfam family "Eukaryotic small subunit ribosomal RNA", at positions 34 to 1435 of the family's 1831-position model. The record is from RNAcentral. Lineage: Eukaryota; Fungi; Aphelidiomycota; Aphelidea.